Molecule: ribosomal RNA, 256 nt
Filed under: uncultured bacterium
Lineage: Bacteria
Description: partial 16S ribosomal RNA
Rfam family: Bacterial small subunit ribosomal RNA
Source: RNAcentral
GACAGAGGAUGCAAGCGUUAUCCGGAAUGAUUGGGCGUAAAGCGUCUGUAGGUGGCUUUUUAAGUCCGCCGUCAAAUCCCAGGGCUCAACCCUGGACAGGCGGUGGAAACUACCAAGCUGGAGUACGGUAGGGGCAGGAGGGAAUUUCCGGUGGAGCGGUGAAAUGCGCAGAGUAUCAGGAAGAACACCCGUGGCUAAGGCGGUUCUCUAGUACGGUACUGACGCCUGAGACGCGAAAGCGUGGGGAGCGAACAGG